UACGUAGGGUGCGAGCGUUGUCCGGAAUUAUUGGGCGUAAAGAGCUCGUAGGCGGUGUGUCACGUCGGCCGUGAAAACCUGGGGCUUAACUCUGGGCGUGCGGUCGAUACGGGCAUCACUGGAGUUCGGCAGGGGAGACUGGAAUUCCUGGUGUAGCGGUGAAAUGCGCAGAUAUCAGGAGGAACACCGGUGGCGAAGGCGGGUCUCUGGGCCGAUACUGACGCUGAGGAGCGAAAGCAUGGGUAGCGAACAGG
Molecule: ribosomal RNA, 254 nt
Filed under: uncultured bacterium
Lineage: Bacteria
Description: partial 16S ribosomal RNA
Rfam family: Bacterial small subunit ribosomal RNA
Source: RNAcentral